This is a long non-coding RNA of Passer domesticus (house sparrow), 1833 nucleotides long. RefSeq lists it as uncharacterized. NCBI's taxonomy places the organism in Eukaryota, Metazoa, Chordata, Aves, Passeriformes, Passeridae. The record is from RefSeq and is a predicted model, not a curated record. The transcript is spliced from 4 exons.
UUGCUUUCCAAGCAGGUCCUGGUUAGUGACCCUUUAAAGAGUUUUCCUGCAGUGCUCUAUCAUGGGUAGAUCUCAAGCGAGAAUCGGGUAGAAAGUGUCAAGUCGCCUAGGAAGAGGGAUCUUGAAAACAGAAGGAUUUUCUGCCAGCUUUUCCUGUCCUUGCUGCAGAUUUGGAGGGUGUUCUGGGCAUUUUCCAGACAGCCCUUCUGUAGGGGUACAAGGGCAAGGCAAAAGAUAUUGCCUAACAAGUCAUCAGUGUUAGGUGCACUCCCCUCUUUCUUUGAAUGAAGCCAGACUAGGAUGGUGAGAGGAUAUUGCAGAGGUUUAAGACUGUCUGCCCUGAAAAUCAAGGCAAACCACUGAAAUGAGCUCUGCCUGCCCUAGAAGAGUUGGAGCUGCAGAAUACAGCCUCACCCACAAGGCUGGUUUUAGAAAAAACUCACAGUUUAAUUUCAGCAUGUGUGUCUGAAGAUCUGGGCUCUUCCUGGGUGAAUCCACUUUCUGUGGUCUUUUGUGAUGAGAAACCAAAUGUAGCCAAAUCCCAAAGCUGCUGGGAAGAUGCAAAAGGCUGUGAUUAUAAAAUGUGUGUGUGUGUCUAUAUCCCUUUUACAAUCCAUGCUUUAAUCUGUGUACAUGUGAAUUAGGAUAAAUAUUUUUUAAGAGGAGAACUCACUCCCCCACUCCCCUGGCAAGUCUGAAUACAUUUCUGGAACUGAGGUUGCUCUGUGCUUCCUGUGAUGUUUGAUCCAAGGCAGCACUAGAGCUCUGUGUCCCAAAGCCACAUUGUGGAGCCUGACCAAUGUGUUUGGAUUCUUGCAGCCACCCCAGGCACUUCAGGCCCCAGCGCUCCAGCUGGCAGUGCUGGUUUUGCACCAUGGACAGCCCCCAGCUGGCUGUGGAAUACUCCUGGGGAAGAGGAAUUGCCACCACCAGAUCUGGACAUGGUGCUUGAGACGCUGGAGGAGAUGUUUUCUCCCUCUGCUCAGGGGAAUAUUAAUGUUGCCCCAGAGUCUUCAGGAGGGCAGCCUGUGGACAGAGCUGAAGCAGAAGGAGCUUUGCCUGGCACCAGGAGGUGCGGGAACAAUUCCCAGGAGCCCGAAGAGCUUGAUUUCCACCUAAUCUACCUCGCCAGGAGGGCUGCCCUGCGUGAGAAAAAGGAUCGGAGGGAGAGCCUGUGACCAUCGGGCAGGUGGAAUCCCUCCAUUUAUACAUAGAUUUAUAGAUUUCCAUAGUUCUAUUUAUAUAUCCUUGUAGUUACAUUUAUUGAUUUAUACAAUCCUAUUUAUAUAUCCACAUAGUUAUAUUUGUAGGUUUAUAGAGAACAUAUAUAUAUAUAUAUAUAUACAUCUAUACAGUUAAAUCUAUAUAUAGUUUUUGAUGUGAUAGAAUUAUAUUUAUGUGCAUGUAGUUACAUUUAUAGAUUUUAAAAUUUACAUUUAUAUACAUAGAGAGUAAUAAUAUAUUUUUAAUAUUUUUAUAUUUAUAAAUCUGCAUCGAUAUGUAGUUAGAGUUAUAUGGAUUUUUAGAUGGAUAGAUUGAUGUUAGUGUAGGUCUAGGCAGUAUUUUUACCUCUUUCCCCCUCGGCUGCCUUUUUCACCUCUGGCUUUUCCCCCUGUGCCCCCUGUGUCCCCUCUCCCUGGGCUGGGUCCGAGCUGGCGGCCGGGCCGCGCACAGCAGCAGUUCCAGCCCCGGAUGUCCCUGGAGCGCUGGGAGCUGCCGGUGGCCCCAGGCACUGUCCCCUGAGGAGCUGCUGAAGGACGCUGCAAUGAAGACCUCGAGGACCGCCGGAGACUGCCGGGAGCCAGCAGGGAGAAGCCGAGGGCCAGCAGCAGG